Molecule: ribosomal RNA, 446 nt
Filed under: Danaus genutia (orange tiger)
Lineage: Eukaryota; Metazoa; Arthropoda; Insecta; Lepidoptera; Nymphalidae
Description: partial 28S ribosomal RNA
Source: RNAcentral
AAACCUGCGAAACUCGAAUGAACGAACGGAGAGAUUCAUCGUCGCUCGGCGGCGUACGGGCGUCGUGCCUCGAUGUCGUGCUUGCGUCACGCAAGUGGCGUAUUGUAUGACACGGGUCGCGUCCGUCGACGUUCGCCGAAGGCGUGCACUUCUCUCUUAGUAAUACAUCGCGACCCGUUCGAUGUCGGCAUAAGCGCCGUUCGGGAGUCCAAUCGUCGCGUUCACGCGCGGCGGCUGGACCGUGACGGUGGCCUGCCGGCUGUCGGACGGUAGUACAAAAUCGUACAAUAUACGAAUCGCGCACGCGUCUCAAAACGCGUCCGGCCCGACGCAAGCGUGCGCCGCAUAAAGUCUCUGUCCUGCCCGAGUGCGGAUAGGGACGCGGUGCUGCUGUCUGUCGCCGCCGUGCUGUCUCGGACUGUGCGCGUAUCCGUCUGCGAUGAUUC